UGAGGGUAAGUUGACAUAUAUAGAACUACGUUAAAUGACAUGUGCAUGUGGACAUAUAUAUAUAUAUAGAUCGAGUGGCAUUGAACCUAGUGUCAAGGACAUAGGUUGAGUAAGAGUAAUAUUGAACCUAGUGUUAAUAAACAUAGGUUGAACAAGUGUGGCAUCGAACCUAGUGUUAAUAAACAUAGGUUGAACAAGUGUGGCAUCGAACCUAGUGUUAAUAAACAUAGAUUGAACAAGUGUGGCAUCGAACCUAGUGUUAAUAAACAUAGGUCGUACAAGAGUGGCAUCAAACCUAAUGUUAGAGAACAUAGGUUGAGAUUAAACCUAGAGUUAAGUCAACCUAGGUUGUGAGAUAAAGAUAGUGAACCUAGAGUUAAAGUAACCUAGGUUAUGUGAUAAAA
Molecule: long non-coding RNA, 404 nt
Filed under: Ananas comosus (pineapple)
Lineage: Eukaryota; Viridiplantae; Streptophyta; Magnoliopsida; Poales; Bromeliaceae
Description: long non-coding RNA (ACOM_LNC024330)
Source: RNAcentral